AUGCAUUUCCUACAACAUCCCACUGGGUCAGCUGUUAGCUUUGACCUUGACAUCAUUUUAAUGUCGCCUCUCAGAUUGUCAGUAAUUCUGUCCGUAGAAGACAGUCAGCCUCCCUCCACAAAGGCACCGGACACAGGAGAAGAGAUUGAAGUGACACUUCCUGUCCUGAGCCUGGCGCCCUGUGACUGUGGAUUGGCAAAGACAUUUCCUAAGUCUGUACAGUCUGUGCAGUUUUAUUACAUAGACGCGUUUAUUUUGUCGUCCUCGGCCUUGAGUUUCAGCUGCUCGAGCAUCACAUCGACACCAGCAAAGGCGCCGCAUGAAGGCAGUCAUCUCCUCUCGGGCCUGUCCUGUCUGGACUCGGGGUGCCGCAUUUCAACAAGGAGUUAUGUGUAUAAACAGAAGAGCAGGUGCACGCCUGUUUUCAGGAUCCCCAUGACAGAUGCAGCAGAUUACUAGCUUAUCAGCA
RNAcentral lists this long non-coding RNA (469 nucleotides) under Delphinapterus leucas (beluga whale). RNAcentral describes it as "lncRNA (ENSDLEG00000009281.1)". Lineage: Eukaryota; Metazoa; Chordata; Mammalia; Artiodactyla; Monodontidae. The record is from RNAcentral.